UGCCCCAUGGCUGAGUUGGUUACAGCGUCCGACUGUUAAAAGUCAAUCGGAAGGUCGAGAGUUCGAGCCUCUCUGGGGCAG
RNAcentral lists this transfer RNA (81 nucleotides) under Armillaria solidipes. Its description in RNAcentral is "tRNA-Asn". It matches the Rfam family "tRNA". From Rfam's summary of the family: Transfer RNA (tRNA) molecules are approximately 80 nucleotides in length. Lineage: Eukaryota; Fungi; Basidiomycota; Agaricomycetes; Agaricales; Physalacriaceae. The record is from RNAcentral.